ACGGGUGAGUAACACGUGGGUAACCUGCCCAGAAGUAGGGGAUAACACCUGGAAACAGAUGCUAAUACCGUAUAACAGAGAAAACCGCAUGGUUUUCUUUUAAAAGAUGGCUCUGCUAUCACUUCUGGAUGGACCCGCGGCGUAUUAGCUAGUUGGUGAGGUAAAGGCUCACCAAGGCAGUGAUACGUAGCCGACCUGAGAGGGUAAUCGGCCACAUUGGGACUGAGACACGGCCCAGACUCCUACGGGAGGCAGCAGUAGGGAAUCUUCCACAAUGGACGCAAGUCUGAUGGAGCAACGCCGCGUGAGUGAAGAAGGGUUUCGGCUCGUAAAGCUCUGUUGUUAAAGAAGAACGUGGGUAAGAGUAACUGUUUACCCAGUGACGGUAUUUAACCAGAAAGCCACGGCUAACUACGUGCCAGCAGCCGCGGUAAUACGUAGGUGGCAAGCGUUAUCCGGAUUUAUUGGGCGUAAAGCGAGCGCAGGCGGUCUUUUAAGUCUAAUGUGAAAGCCUUCGGCUCAACCGAAGAAGUGCAUUGGAAACUGGGAGACUUGAGUGCAGAAGAGGACAGUGGAACUCCAUGUGUAGCGGUGAAAUGCGUAGAUAUAUGGAAGAACACCAGUGGCGAAGGCGGCUGUCUGGUCUGCAACUGACGCUGAGGCUCGAAAGCAUGGGUAGCGAACAGGAUUAGAUACCCUGGUAGUCCAUGCCGUAAACGAUGAUUACUAAGUGUUGGAGGGUUUCCGCCCUUCAGUGCUGCAGCUAACGCAUUAAGUAAUCCGCCUGGGGAGUACGACCGCAAGGUUGAAACUCAAAAGAAUUGACGGGGGCCCGCACAAGCGGUGGAGCAUGUGGUUUAAUUCGAAGCUACGCGAAGAACCUUACCAGGUCUUGACAUCUUCUGACAGUCUAAGAGAUUAGAGGUUCCCUUCGGGGACAGAAUGACAGGUGGUGCAUGGUUGUCGUCAGCUCCUGUCCUGGAAAUGUUGGGGUUAAGUCCCCCAACCAACCCCACCCCUUAUUACUAAGUUGCCACCAUUAAAUUUGGG
Molecule: ribosomal RNA, 1050 nt
Filed under: Pediococcus pentosaceus
Lineage: Bacteria; Bacillati; Bacillota; Bacilli; Lactobacillales; Lactobacillaceae
Description: bacterial SSU rRNA
Rfam family: Bacterial small subunit ribosomal RNA
Source: RNAcentral